Molecule: long non-coding RNA, 607 nt
Organism: Lynx canadensis (Canada lynx)
Lineage: Eukaryota; Metazoa; Chordata; Mammalia; Carnivora; Felidae
Exons: 3
Source: RefSeq, a predicted model, not a curated record
AGGCCAUGACUACAAAAUGCCAGAUUCCUUGAUGGUAAAUCCCCUGGACCUACAGCAGCCCACCACCCCAGCUCGGGCAGUGAAGGGACACAGAGAAGCCAAACUUCAACAGGAAAAUGCCUGCAGCAAAAUGGUUGAGAACAUGAAAGGAAUGUCUGCCUGUGGUUAAUUCAAUUCAAUUCAAUUGUGCACACCCAGGGCAGGUGCCCCCAUGGAGUCACAUGUCUACCAACCAGCCCAAAUGCAACAUGAUCACAUGAGCAUAAGCCAAGUUCGCCCCACCACUGGCAUGCAGGAUAUUCAAAGUCGGCUGUGACCCUCACUGCUGGGGAGAGGAGGCCAUAAAAGCACAUGAGAAAAGCUAUAAAAUAACCGUGAGAUGAAGGUGGGCAGCCCAUCAGCCAACACUUAUCAAACUCCUACUGUGUGUCCGGGACAUCAGAAAGAGCUGGGGAUGAGCACUGAGCAGGAUGACCUACAUGUUUAUUUGUUAGUGUGUUUACCAGGUGUUGCAUGCACCGACUACUGCUCUAGGUACUCAGGUUGAGCCAGAAACACUCCAGGCAAGCCCCUGACCUUGCAACCUGACAUCAUAAGUACUAUGGAA